RNAcentral lists this long non-coding RNA (1042 nucleotides) under Ananas comosus (pineapple). RNAcentral's name for it is "long non-coding RNA (ACOM_LNC026445)". Lineage: Eukaryota; Viridiplantae; Streptophyta; Magnoliopsida; Poales; Bromeliaceae. The record is from RNAcentral.
CGUCCUUAAGCUCUCCUCUCUCUUUUAAAACUUUGCACUCGGUCUACACAAAUAUAACAUACACCAAAUCUAUUUUCUUAAUUUAAAAUUAAAAUAUAAUUUAAUGGAUAUAUUUACACUAUAUAAUAAAUUUAUGUACAAAAUAUUAUAGGGUUUAAGUUCCAACAAUAUGGACUUAUCAAUAUAGUGUUUAACAUAUAAAUAUACACCUUGUGCAUGAUGUUACGCCCCGGAUUACUCGUUUCUCUGGGCACGCUAAUAGACCCGCCGUAUACAUAGGAAUUUCUCCUGUAUACGAAGCGAAACAGAAAAGUACCGGUAAUCAAACAAUACUACAAACAGUAGUAUAGAGCAGGGGUACAACUAGGCGUGAGAACUACUGCAAAAGAAGUAGUCCUCAGUGGGUACCGUCCUCAAACUCAUCGGCUCACUCACUAAGUCUACAGAUCAGUGAUAGAAAAGGAAGCUGGAACAAAUCUACAGCUAUAUGCCACUAUCCUAUCAUGAACCAACACUACUAUCUGUAGAGUAAUGCAACCUCAGACCCAAAUCCAUAGGGACUGUGAACACACCUGUCCCAGGGACUGUGAACGCACCCAUCCCGCCUGUAGAAUCCUAAAUGCUACCUUCACACUAAUUAGUUCGUGGAGAGCAAGUCCAACCAGGACACUACACAACGCAAACGCACAAAGCCCGACUCAGGAGUGGCACUCGUGGGCUCUACCCAACUGAGUAUGUAAGCAUAUCUCUACUAAGCUCAAUCAGGCUCUAACAGGCUAUGAUCAAGUAAAUAGGGUCCAACUGGUCUAACAACCAAAACUCAUGUACCCUCGGCACAAACUGAUACAAAACCCGCAAGCUGAGUCUACCGUCAACCUUGACGGCACCCGACAGUCCGAAACAGCCUAGACACUGCUAUAAAAAUAAGCUCGGCAUCUCCGCACGAGCGUAACUGCAUUCUACACUAUCCCAGAUAUCUACCGCCAACAAACUGCGGUGAUACAGAUCAACUACAGGUCCUAAGCUUUCGGCGUAUCAAAUG